RNAcentral lists this ribosomal RNA (505 nucleotides) under uncultured bacterium. RNAcentral describes it as "bacterial SSU rRNA". It matches the Rfam family "Bacterial small subunit ribosomal RNA", at positions 791 to 1296 of the family's 1533-position model. The record is from RNAcentral.
UAGUCCACGCCGUAAACGAUGUCUACUAGCAGUUCGUCUCGUUUAGAGAUGUCUUGCGCAGCUAACGCAUUAAGUAGACCGCCUGGGGAGUACGGCCGCAAGGUUAAAACUCAAAUGAAUUGACGGGGGCCCGCACAAGCGGUGGAGCAUGUGGUUUAAUUCGAUGCAACGCGAAGAACCUUACCAUCCCUUGACAUCCAGAGAAUUUACUAGAGAUAGUUUAGUGCCUUUCGGGAACUCUGAGACAGGUGCUGCAUGGCUGUCGUCAGCUCGUGUUGUGAAAUGUUGGGUUAAGUCCCGCAACGAGCGCAACCCUUGUCUUUAGUUGCCAUCAUUAAGUUGGGCACUUUAAAGAGACUGCCGGUGACAAACCGGAGGAAGGUAAGGAUGACGUCAAGUCAGCAUGCCCCUUAUGCUCUGGGCUACACACGUGCUACAAUGGCCGUGACAAAGAGUUGCUACUUUGUGAAAACAAGCUAAUCUCAUAAACGCGGCCUCAGUUCGG